This is a long non-coding RNA of Hibiscus syriacus, 282 nucleotides long. RefSeq lists it as uncharacterized. The transcript has 3 exons. The record is from RefSeq and is a predicted model, not a curated record. Lineage: Eukaryota; Viridiplantae; Streptophyta; Magnoliopsida; Malvales; Malvaceae.
CUUCUCUUCGGUUUAUGGUACUAUUAUUAUUAUUAUUUCAUAUUUCCUUAUACUAAGCUGCCCUGCCACGAUGGUCAGCUUCAAAUAUUGGGAUGAGUGUGUUGAUCCUGAGGAUUUGGAAGCAAUGUGGAAUCGACCUGCAGUGAGAAAAGAGUGGACUGAUGUCGGGGAGACUCAAGGACAAAAAGUUCACCUAUCAAGGGAUCCUGACGGGCAGCCUUAUUUGACACAAACAGAGAUGAGGGCUGUUGCGGAAAUUGUAACUAGCAGACAUUUUGAUAC